UCUUUUCUUUUGAUAAGAGAGUUUUUAAAACCAGUGUUAUUUUUGUAAGUUUAAGAGAAGUUUGUGUAUUGAAUUUUUUAUUUUUAAUAUUAAAGAGCUUUGUUAAACUUAGACUUAAGUUUAGGUCAUUUUGGGGGUUUAGCUCAGUUGGCUAGAGCAUCGGCUUUGCAAGCCGAGGGUCAAGGGUUCGAGUCCCUUAACCUCCAUUGGGCUUAUGUCCUAAAUUGUAAUUAAGUAUGUUUUUAAGCAACUUUGUUAAAGUAAUUGUUAGAAUGUGAAACAGAGAAAGUUAAAAUUUCUGGGUUAAGUUGAGAUCUGUUGAUAUUAAGAAGAAUCUCUAGAAGCAAAAGCAAGCUUUCGAUAAAACCCGAAGUUGUUUCGCUAAAGUGCAAGGAUUAAACAGGAUUGUAUUUUCCAGCAGCCUAUUUUAUAAACGAUCUGCAUUUAGUAAAUAGUUUUUAGUUAAGAAAUAAUGUAGAUUGCUAAGUGUGAUGUC
RNAcentral lists this unclassified non-coding RNA (496 nucleotides) under Borreliella burgdorferi (Lyme disease spirochete). RNAcentral's name for it is "partial 16S-23S ribosomal RNA intergenic spacer". The stretch from base 133 to 206 matches the Rfam family "tRNA". The record is from RNAcentral. Lineage: Bacteria; Pseudomonadati; Spirochaetota; Spirochaetia; Spirochaetales; Borreliaceae.